AAACUUUCAACAAUGGAUCUCUUGGUUCCGGCAUCGAUGAAGAACGCAGCGAACUGCGAUAAUUAAUGUGAAUUGCAGAAUUCAGUGAAUCAUCGAGUCUUUGAACGCACAUU
Molecule: ribosomal RNA, 113 nt
Filed under: Aspergillus varians
Lineage: Eukaryota; Fungi; Ascomycota; Eurotiomycetes; Eurotiales; Aspergillaceae
Description: 5.8S ribosomal RNA
Rfam family: 5.8S ribosomal RNA
About the family: 5.8S ribosomal RNA (5.8S rRNA) is a component of the large subunit of the eukaryotic ribosome.
Source: RNAcentral